RNAcentral lists this ribosomal RNA (253 nucleotides) under uncultured bacterium. RNAcentral's name for it is "partial 16S ribosomal RNA". It matches the Rfam family "Bacterial small subunit ribosomal RNA", at positions 524 to 776 of the family's 1533-position model. The record is from RNAcentral.
UGCGUAGGAUGCAAGCGUUGUCCGGAUUUAUUGGGUUUAAAGGGUGCGUAGGCGGCCUAUUAAGUUAGUGGUGAAAACGUUCGGCUUAACCGGAUACCCGCCAUUGAUACUGAUAGACUUGAGUGCGACAGAGGGUGUUGGAAUGUGUGGUGUAGCGGUGAAAUGCUUAGAGAUCACGCAGAACACCAAUUGCGAAGGCAGAUGCCUAUGUCGUAACUGACGCUGAGGCACGAAAGAGUGGGGAGCAAACAGG